RNAcentral lists this ribosomal RNA (468 nucleotides) under uncultured bacterium. Its description in RNAcentral is "partial 16S ribosomal RNA". It matches the Rfam family "Bacterial small subunit ribosomal RNA", at positions 28 to 507 of the family's 1533-position model. The record is from RNAcentral.
GACGAACGCUGGCGGCGUGCUUAACACAUGCAAGUCGAACGGAAAGGCCCUGCUUUUGUGGGGUGCUCGAGUGGCGAACGGGUGAGUAACACGUGAGUAACCUGCCCUUGACUUUGGUAUAACUUCAGGAAACUUGGGCUAAUACCGGAUAGGAGCUCCUGCUGCAUGGUGGGGGUUGGAAAGUUUCGGCGGUUGGGGAUGGACUCGCGGCUUAUCAGCUUGUUGGUGGGGUAGUGGCUUACCAAGGCUUUGACGGGUAGCCGGCCUGAGAGGGUGACCGGCCACAUUGGGACUGAGAUACGGCCCAGACUCCUACGGGAGGCAGCAGUGGGGAAUAGUGCACAAUGGGCGGAAGCCUGAUGCAGCAACGCCGCGUGCGGGAUGACGGCCUUCGGGUUGUAAACCGCUUUCGCCUGUGACGAAGCGUGAGUGACGGUAAUGGGUAAAGAAGCACCGGCUAACUACGUG